GAGGGUAGAGCUCAGUGGUAGAGCCCGGGCUUAGCAGGGGUGAGGUCCUGGGUUCAACCCCCAGUACCGCCA
RNAcentral lists this transfer RNA (72 nucleotides) under Camelus bactrianus (Bactrian camel). It matches the Rfam family "tRNA". From Rfam's summary of the family: Transfer RNA (tRNA) molecules are approximately 80 nucleotides in length. Their secondary structure includes four short double-helical elements and three loops (D, anti-codon, and T loops). The record is from Rfam by way of RNAcentral. Lineage: Eukaryota; Metazoa; Chordata; Mammalia; Artiodactyla; Camelidae. RNAcentral also lists the same sequence under 2 other names.